RNAcentral lists this ribosomal RNA (534 nucleotides) under uncultured eukaryote. RNAcentral's name for it is "bacterial SSU rRNA". It matches the Rfam family "Eukaryotic small subunit ribosomal RNA", at positions 4 to 564 of the family's 1831-position model. The record is from RNAcentral.
CUGGUUGAUCCUGCCAGUAGUCAUAUGUUUUGUUCAACAAUUUAGCCGUGCAUGUUUCUGUAUAAAUUCUAAUACUUUAAAGCUGCGAAGGCUCAUUACAUCAGUUACAAUCGAUACCUUGAUUAUUAUGCGGAUAGCCAGGGUAAUUCUUUUGCUAAAACGUACCUGAAAUCCUCUGGAUGUCAUUGCUAGCUUGAGAUCAACUCAGAAGUUCGUUUUUGACCCUGGUGUUUCAUAGCAAUUAGAAUUUAUCGUUGUCCGCGAAGCAGGAUUCGAGUUUCUGACUUCACAUGUUUGACGGUUGUGUAUUGGACCACCGUUCACUUGACGGGUAACAGAGAAUUACACUCUGAUUCUGGAGAGGGCCCUGAGAACGGCAACCACAGUUAAGGAAGGCAGCAAGCACGCAAAGUGCCCAAUCCUGACACAGAGAGGUAGUGACAAGAAGUAACAAUGUGGAGCAAUUUUUGUUCUGGAUUUGGGAUGAGUCGUAGUUAAAUAUCACGACGAUUAUCGAUUGGAGGGCAAGUCUGG